This 253-nucleotide ribosomal RNA is filed under the name uncultured bacterium. RNAcentral's name for it is "partial 16S ribosomal RNA". It matches the Rfam family "Bacterial small subunit ribosomal RNA", at positions 524 to 776 of the family's 1533-position model. The record is from RNAcentral.
UACGUAGGGGGCAAGCGUUGUCCGGAAUCAUUGGGCGUAAAGCGCGUGUAGGCGGCCAGGUAAGUCCGUUCUGAAAGCCCGGGGCUCAACCCCGGGAGGCGGAUGGAUACUGCUUGGCUCGAGUCCGGAAGAGGUGAGUGGAAUUCCCGGUGUAGCGGUGAAAUGCGCAGAUAUCGGGAGGAACACCAAUGGCGAAGGCAGCUCACUGGGACGGUACUGACGCUGAGACGCGAAAGCGUGGGGAGCGAACAGG